Molecule: ribosomal RNA, 255 nt
Filed under: Duganella flavida
Lineage: Bacteria; Pseudomonadati; Pseudomonadota; Betaproteobacteria; Burkholderiales; Oxalobacteraceae
Description: partial 16S ribosomal RNA
Rfam family: Bacterial small subunit ribosomal RNA
Source: RNAcentral
GGAAUUGACGGGGACCCGCACAAGCGGUGGAUGAUGUGGAUUAAUUCGAUGCAACGCGAAAAACCUUACCUACCCUUGACAUGGCAAGAACCUCCGAGAGAUUGGAGGGUGCUCGAAAGAGAACUUGUACACAGGUGCUGCAUGGCUGUCGUCAGCUCGUGUCGUGAGAUGUUGGGUUAAGUCCCGCAACGAGCGCAACCCUUGUCAUUAGUUGCUACGCAAGAGCACUCUAAUGAGACUGCCGGUGACAAACCG